This is a small nuclear RNA of Cercocebus atys (sooty mangabey), 94 nucleotides long. The record is from Ensembl. NCBI's taxonomy places the organism in Eukaryota, Metazoa, Chordata, Mammalia, Primates, Cercopithecidae.
GUGCCCACUUCAGUAGUACAUAUACUAAAAUUGGAACAAUAAAUGGCACCUGCACAAUGUUGACAUGCAAACUCAUGAAGUGUUUCAUAUAUUU